This 367-nucleotide ribosomal RNA is filed under the name uncultured organism. Its description in RNAcentral is "bacterial LSU rRNA". It matches the Rfam family "Bacterial large subunit ribosomal RNA", at positions 2099 to 2465 of the family's 2925-position model. The record is from RNAcentral.
CUUUACUGUAGCCUGGUAUUGGGUUCGGGCUUUGACUGCGCAGGAUAGGUGGGAGACUAUGAGACAUCCCUUGUGGGGGAUGUGGAGUCAUCAGUGAGAUACCACUCUGUCAAGGCUAGAAUUCUAACUCAUUGCCGUGAUCCGGCAUGGGAACAGUUUCAGGUGGGCAGUUUGACUGGGGCGGUCGCCUCCUAAACGAUAACGGAGGCGCACAAAGGUUCCCUCAGGCUGGUUGGAAAUCAGCCGAAGAGUGUAAAGGCACAAGGGAGCUUGACUGUGAGACUGACAAGUCGAGCAGGGUGGAAACACGGUCUUAGUGAUCCGACGGCACUGAGUGGAAGGGCCGUCGCUCAACGGAUAAAAGUUA